UCAAACAUUCAAGAAGCAUAUAGGAGUUUUAGCUUCUUGGUCAUUUUCCUUCUAAAAGCUACGGCAACAUAAGAAUAAAAAGAGAAUCCUAAACAAUUGCGAAGGCCUCAUAAUUCAGAAUCGACAAUCAGCUACUUGUGCUUUUGUCUCUAUUCUACUGAAUAGGUCAUGUAAACUCCUUGUUUCUGGUGAUUAUUUCUUUUUCAUAUCCACAGUCUACAAGGUGAAAGAAAAUAACUACCUAACCAGUUAUCCAUUGGCCCAACCCACAGCACCCAGAUUGGCUCAGUUUUUCGCCUGAAAAGGGGAUUGAACCAACCCAUGUACACCCUACACCCCAUUAUUUCACUCUCCCUCGCUUGUUUUUCCUUGGAACCUAGACUUCACCUACUUCUUUCAAUAAAUUGCCACCUAUGGAAACAAAGAAAGAAAAGCCACACCUUGCAGAGAUCGUCGCUGAUUUUGCAGCGUGUAACGUCGAUAACCUGUGAAUUCACUACCGAGCAUCCACAGACUAAACUUACGAAGAAACACCGAUUCAGCGUCUCUCGAACAAAUUCAACUGACACAUCCUUGGAGUUCCCGCGCAAUUGCAGCACCAACCAAAUCGAAUUCAAAAUCCAGCUCAAGAUUACAUUAACUUAUUAAAAAAAAAAAAUCGGACGUGCCAGGCGUUACCUGAUCUAUAGCAAGCUGCACGAAGCCCAGAACGAACCUCAGGAGAGAAUCGUCAUCAGUUUCCAUGGCUUCGGUCGGCGGUGGUAGUCCGUCGCCUCCGCUGGCCAGUCUCCGUCGCCGUCAAGUUCAAUAGGGACUCUGUUUCGGGAAGACGAACAUAUUCUUCUUCUUCUUCCAUUUCGUCGGAGAUCGCUGGUGUGGGGAUGGAAGAUGAGGCGUUGGUAGAGUCGGAAGUUCUGGCUAUGCCGGAGGAGAAAAGGAAGGAGGAGCUCUACGACAACGGGAAAAUCAAAGGAAAAGAAGAAAUGAAAAAGGUUCAAGAGGGGACGAAGGGAGUGCAUAAUUAGACAGAAUGUUAGACCCGUUAAACAGGUGGGUCGGGUCGGGUUUGGGUCGGGUCAUAAAUGGUCCGACCCAAAUCGACCCAUUUAACCUGUUUAUAACCCAUUUAUUACAAUGCAAAAAAUUUGACCCAUACCCGACCUGACCCGUACCCGACCCAUACCCGACCCAUUUAACGAAACCUAAAAAAGUAUAUAUAUAUAUUUUUAAAAUGAUAUUGCUAAAAUGGUUUUAUACAACAUAAAUUUAAUAGAUAAUUUUUAUAAUUUUUAAAAUAAUUAUUUUAAAAAAAUCGAAUUUUAAUUAAUUUUUUGUUUUUUUUUAAAUUAAUUUUUUAUUUUUUAAAAAAUAAUUUUUUUAUAAUUUUUAUUUUAUUUUUAAGAAUAUAAUAUAAUUUNNNNNNNNNNNNNNNNNNNNNNNNNNNNNNNNNNNNNNNNNNNNNNNNNNNNNNNNNNNNNNNNNNNNNNNNNNNNNNNNNNNNNNNNNNNNNNNNNNNNUGUUGACUAUACUUUCAAGGCUUGAAUUGUGUUCAUCUUUGGCUUUGUAUGUAGGCUAAGUGAGGAAGAUUGUUGUAUCCUAGGGAUAGGAUUUUUGUCACAGCCAACUGCAUUAGAUCAUGAAUCCUAUUGGAAGAACCACUGUUUCCAAGACAGAGUAAUCUAUGCAUCUUAUGCAGAAAUUUCAGUUCUUUCUUCAAAUACCGACAACACUAAGAGUCUAAGAGAGGAUCUUAUGCGUGAAGCAUGGACAACUAUCUUUGCUCCUCAAUGUCAAGGUAUGGACAUUGUUUGAAGAGUAUUCUCCUUACUAAUAGCCAUUCGAUCUAAGUUCUAGUACUCAAGCAUUAUAUUCUUUGAAAUUUUAUGUGAAAUUGCAGUUAUCCUCCCUAUACUUGAGAUUUUACAAAGUUCCUCAACUCGCUUCUCAUAACUUUAGAAUUUUGCAUCUCUCACUACACCCUUUUAAUCAAGACAAGUGAAGCCACCAUAACAACUUGCUCUCAAGUAAUGUAAAGCAAUAAAUACGUACUCAGAACAAUUUAUACCUUUGUAAUCUGUUGAGGUAAUCAAGCAAUUACUAACGUAUUCAAGCAUGCUAUACAGGACAAUCUACAAGCACUGAACAUUCUGGUCCAACAGCUUGCAAAGGCUUUAUUUCUAUUUAAAAAGCAAAUAUCAUUCCCCUACUCUUUCUCUCCUCAUUGAAGCUUUUUCUUUGACUGUCCUCGGUCCAAAAUUCAGACAGAGAACAAUAGCAAAUGAGAAAUGUGAAACAUUGUACAGAGUAAAGCAAGAUUCUUGCUAUUGUUAGCCAUAGUCGUACUUUAUGAAAGAAUAAUGGGAACAAAACCAUUAAGAGCCUAAUAAUGCAUAGAAAAUUCCACCUUUUAACAGAUUUGUUCAGAUGUACUAUUUAAACACAUAUUAAAGAAAUAACUGCGAUAUUGAGGGUAUCAAUUCAAAACAACAACAAAGUGCUGUUGGUCAAAAUUUAUAGAAAGGGGUAAAGAAGCAAUGAUAGACAUACAUUCUGUUUCUCAUUAGUCCUAUUUCUUCCUGCUGCAAUAAGGCACUGUUUCUCACCAAUCACACAGCUGUUCAAUCAAGGUAUAAAAUAAAUAGUGUACAAUGUGAAAUCACUUACAAAUUAAGACUGAAAAUAAAGUAACAUAUCUGAAAUGCAACUGGUUACUGAAAAUCAGUUCCUUACCCAAUUGGAACUUCGAGGCUGUCCAAGCAAGCUUUGCCUUAUAUUAAAAAUGCAAAUAGGUCUUGUACUUGUUAGGAGGAAAAAAAAAUAUGGGUAUAAGAGUCAGAAUUUCUCUCAUACUUGCAUACAGGCAACUCAAGGGAAAAUGAACAUCAAGUAGCCAGCAGUAGAAAUAUUUCAGCAUCAACAUGCAGCUACUAACAGAAUGAAUCCAUAUCUCGUAGCUAUAAGAUCAAGAUUUUGCAGGUCCUGCGUUAUAUACUGGUCCCAAACUUCCAAGGGAUGAUUAUGAAUACAUACUCAUCCAGUAAUUCAGAUGCAAAUCCCACCUAACACUCAAACUGAUAUGGCUCUAACAACAAUAAAACAAAAACAACAACUAAUUUGAGAAACUACAUUAAUCAGGUUUCACUCAAACAUUCAAGAAGCAUAUAGGAGUUUUAGCUUCUUGGUCAUUUUCCUUCUAAAAGCUACGGCAACAUAAGAAUAAAAAGAGAAUCCUAAACAAUUGCGAAGGCCUCAUAAUUCAGAAUCGACAAUCAGCUACUUGUGCUUUUGUCUCUAUUCUACUGAAUAGGUCAUGUAAACUCCUUGUUUCUGGUGAUUAUUUCUUUUUCAUAUCCACAGUCUACAAGGUGAAAGAAAAUAACUACCUAACCAGUUAUCCAUUGGCCCAACCCACAGCACCCAGAUUGGCUCAGUUUUUCGCCUGAAAAGGGGAUUGAACCAACCCAUGUACACCCUACACCCCAUUAUUUCACUCUCCCUCGC
RNAcentral lists this long non-coding RNA (3501 nucleotides) under Eucalyptus grandis. RNAcentral describes it as "long non-coding RNA (EGRA_LNC002895)". Lineage: Eukaryota; Viridiplantae; Streptophyta; Magnoliopsida; Myrtales; Myrtaceae. The record is from RNAcentral.